Molecule: ribosomal RNA, 490 nt
Filed under: uncultured bacterium
Lineage: Bacteria
Description: partial 16S ribosomal RNA
Rfam family: Bacterial small subunit ribosomal RNA
Source: RNAcentral
AUUGAACGCUGGCGGCAGGCCUAACACAUGCAAGUCGAACGGUAACAGGAAACAGCUUGCUGUUUCGCUGACGAGUGGCGGACGGGUGAGUAAUGUCUGGGAAACUGCCUGAUGGAGGGGGAGAACUACUGGAAACGGUAGCUAAUACCGCAUAACGUCGCAAGACCAAAGAGGGGGACCUUCGGGCCUCUUGCCAUCGGAUGUGCCCAGAUGGGAUUAGCUAGUAGGUGGGGUAAAGGCUCACCUAGGCGACGAUCCCUAGCUGGUCUGAGAGGAUGACCAGCCACACUGGAAGUGAGACACGGUCCAGACUCCGACGGGAGGCAGCAGUGGGGAAUAUUGCGCAAUGGGCGAGAGCCUGAUGCAGCCACGCCGCGUGUAUGAAGAAGGCCUUCGGGUUGGAAAGUACUUUCAGCGGGGAGGAAGGGAGUAAAGUUAAUACCUUAGCUCAUUGACGUUACCCGCAGAAGAAGCACCGGCUAACUCCGUG